This 963-nucleotide long non-coding RNA is filed under the name Dromaius novaehollandiae (emu). RNAcentral describes it as "lncRNA (ENSDNVG00000010337.1)". The record is from RNAcentral. Lineage: Eukaryota; Metazoa; Chordata; Aves; Casuariiformes; Dromaiidae.
UUAUCUCUAGAUUUGGCUCUGGAUUGCAGCAAUACCACCACGCCUGUGUUUAGAGUCCUCUGUAGCCAAAAGCACGUGCUUCUGUCGACCAAAACGCAUUUAGGAUAUUCCCCGAGUGCUUUGCCGAAUUGCUCUAAAACUAUACACAAAAUAAUGCUGCAACACCAGCCCUUCAUACAGCUCCAAACCUCGAAUCAACUCCAAAGCUCUGCAUUAUAAAAGAAGAGAAGGGCAGGAAGGGAAACUUAAAUAUUAUUGUCUUGGUAAGUGGGAAGGAAAAAAAAAAGAUUAUUUUGGCGGUUUUCCAUGGUCAGCUUCUCCGUUCCCCUCCCUCAUCUAAUUUCUGCAGUGGCAAUCUGUCCUUUUCCUAAAUGCUGAGCAAUCCCCGCAGUAAACUAAUCAAUAUUAAUAGCGAUAGGAUAGGAAUGGGGAGGGGGGAGGAAGAGAGGAGGGAUUAACAUGACCUUUUUAAACUCACACUGCCUCAGACGGUCACGAAGCAGCUGAGGAGAAAGCAGCCAGACGGACCCACCAUGUCCGACAAACCAGAUUUUGCAGAAAUUGAAACAUUUGACAAGACCAAACUGAAGAAGACGGAAACCAGAGAAAAAAAUCCAUUGCCCACUAAAGAAACUAUUGAACAGGAAAAGCAAAGUGAAAGUACUUCCUGAGCAUGAAAUUGAAGAUGUGAUGGCUGCUUCUUCAGUGGGGUUUUGGCUUCCAAGUUGGGGUUCCGCCCCUUUUCCUGACUCUGUGUUUGUUUUGCAUUGGUUCAACAAGGAAUUUUGUAUUUGUGUUUGUAUUCUCAAAACUGUAAUUCAAAGUUCUGUAUCAACCCGAUUACUUGCCCCCCACCCAAAAAAAAGCAAUUGGCAUACAAAAAUUGUUUUCCUAAACCUCACAAUAAACAGGUUUCUUCUGACCAGCUCUUUGCGACUUGCUGAAAUAGGGUUUACACGGUGA